This 1394-nucleotide ribosomal RNA is filed under the name uncultured bacterium. RNAcentral's name for it is "bacterial SSU rRNA". It matches the Rfam family "Bacterial small subunit ribosomal RNA". The record is from RNAcentral.
GAGUUUGAUCCUGGCUCAGGAUGAACGCUAGCUACAGGCUUAACACAUGCAAGUCGAGGGGCAGCAUGGUCUUAGCUUGCUAAGGCCGAUGGCGACCGGCGCACGGGUGAGUAACACGUAUCCAACCUGCCGUCUACUCUUGGACAGCCUUCUGAAAGGAAGAUUAAUACAAGAUGGCAUCAUGAGUCCGCAUGUUCACAUGAUUAAAGGUAUUCCGGUAGACGAUGGGGAUGCGUUCCAUUAGAUAGUAGGCGGGGUAACGGCCCACCUAGUCUUCGAUGGAUAGGGGUUCUGAGAGGAAGGUCCCCCACAUUGGAACUGAGACACGGCCCAAACUCCUACGGGAGGCAGCAGUGAGGAAUAUUGGUCAAUGGGCGAGAGCCUGAACCAGCCAAGUAGCGUGAAGGAUGACUGCCCUAUGGGUUGUAAACUUCUUUUAUAAAGGAAUAAAGUCGGGUAUGCAUACCCGUUUGCAUGUACUUUAUGAAUAAGGAUCGGCUAACUCCGUGCCAGCAGCCGCGGUAAUACGGAGGAUCCGAGCGUUAUCCGGAUUUAUUGGGUUUAAAGGGAGCGUAGAUGGAUGGUCAAGUCAGUUGUGAAAGUUUGCGGCUCAACCGUAAAAUUGCAGUUGAUACUGGAUAUCUUGAGUGCAGUUGAGGCAGGCGGAAUUCGUGGUGUAGCGGUGAAAUGCUUAGAUACCACGAAGAACUCCGAUUGCGAAGGCAGCCUGCUAAGCUGCAACUGACAUUGAGGCUCGAAAGUGUGGGUAUCAAACAGGAUUAGAUACUCUGGUAGUCCACACGGUAAACGAUGAAUACUCGCUGUUUGCGAUAUACAGCAAGCGGCCAAGCGAAAGCGUUAAGUAUUCCACCUGGGGAGUACGCCGGCAACGGUGAAACUCAAAGGAAUUGACGGGGGCCCGCACAAGCGGAGGAACAUGUGGUUUAAUUCGAUGAUACGCGAGGAACCUUACCCGGGCUUAAAUUGCAGAUGAAUUACGGUGAAAGCCGUAAGCCGCAAGGCAUCUGUGAAGGUGCUGCAUGGUUGUCGUCAGCUCGUGCCGUGAGGUGUCGGCUUAAGUGCCAUAACGAGCGCAACCCUUGUUGUCAGUUACUAACAGGUUCUGCUGAGGACUCUGACAAGACUGCCAUCGUAAGAUGUGAGGAAGGUGGGGAUGACGUCAAAUCAGCACGGCCCUUACGUCCGGGGCUACACACGUGCUACAAUGGGGGGUACAGAGGGCCGCUACCACGCGAGUGGAUGCCAAUCCCCAAAACCUCUCUCAGUUCGGACUGGAGUCUGCAACCCGACUCCACGAAGCUGGAUUCGCUAGUAAUCGCGCAUCAGCCACGGCGCGGUGAAUACGUUCCCGGGCCUUGUACACACCGCCCGUC